This 256-nucleotide ribosomal RNA is filed under the name Morganella morganii. RNAcentral's name for it is "partial 16S ribosomal RNA". It matches the Rfam family "Bacterial small subunit ribosomal RNA", at positions 1 to 253 of the family's 1533-position model. The record is from RNAcentral. Lineage: Bacteria; Pseudomonadati; Pseudomonadota; Gammaproteobacteria; Enterobacterales; Morganellaceae.
UAAUUGAAGAGUUUGAUCAUGGCUCAGAUUGAACGCUGGCGGCAGGCCUAACACAUGCAAGUCGGGCGGUAACAGGGGGAAGCUUGCUUCUCUGCUGACGAGCGGCGGACGGGUGAGUAAUGUAUGGGGAUCUGCCUGAUGGCGGGGGAUAACUACUGGAAACGGUAGCUAAUACCGCAUAAUGUCUUCGGACCAAAGCGGGGGACCUCCGGGCCUCGCGCCAUCAGAUGAGCCCAUAUGGGAUUAGCUAGUAGGU